RNAcentral lists this non-coding RNA (59 nucleotides) under unclassified sequences. The record is from RNAcentral.
GCGGGUCCUCGGUGGAAGAUUUUGGGUCACGGCCCCAGAAUUUUUUACUGACGACCAGC